This is a non-coding RNA of Phthorimaea operculella (potato tuberworm), 76 nucleotides long. NCBI's taxonomy places the organism in Eukaryota, Metazoa, Arthropoda, Insecta, Lepidoptera, Gelechiidae. The record is from the annotation of a GenBank genome assembly.
ACCGCGGUAGCCCAGUUGGUAGGGACGUCGGCAGUAUAGAUACUGAAAGUCGUAGCUUGAAAUCCUGUCUGCGGUG